Molecule: long non-coding RNA, 518 nt
Organism: Gasterosteus aculeatus aculeatus (three-spined stickleback)
Lineage: Eukaryota; Metazoa; Chordata; Actinopteri; Perciformes; Gasterosteidae
Source: Ensembl
UGCUCUGCUCGUCCUUUACUUCUACUCCCUGGAUGCACGACAAACACACACACACACACACACAGAAAAAACACACACAAGAGUGAUCUACAGCCAGACAGGAAGCCGCCCCCCCCUCCUCUGUUUCCAGUUUCCAGCAUGGAUGGAUGUGUGUGUGUGUGUGUGUGUGUGUGUGUGUGUGUGUGUGUGUGUGUGUGCAAUCGGCUGGAGGCAGACUGAGCGACGCUGGAAGAGAAUGACACACACACAGGAGAAGAUAGUGGAGCUCGGCAUCCUGACUGGAACUACCAGGUGAAACCUCUUACCAAGCGGCCCUGGAAGCCACCAGCUGAUUGGAGCAAAAGGGGAAUGAAAGGCCGUGGAAGCCAGGAUGAGCCGGAUGAGCUGGGAGUAGCUGGAGGCGUGCAACUUGCAGAGUGUGUUCGAGUGUCUGCGUUUGCCGGGUUGUGCUGGUACUUGUUUGUGGUGGCGUUUUUGUUUCUGCUGUUGGACAGUAUGAUUUUGAGUUUGAACCUGAU